GCCUAAUACAUGCAAGUCGAGCGAGAACCGGGACUUCGGUCCCGGGGAGAGCGGCGAACGGGUGCGUAUCACGUGAGCAACCUGCCUCGGAGACCGGAAUAACUCGAGGAAACUCGGGCUAAUGCCGGAUGCCCUCGGUGGACCGCAUGGUCCGGCGAGGAAAUGGAUUCCGCUCCGAGAUGGGCUCGCGGCCUAUCAGCUUGUUGGUGGGGUAACGGCCUACCAAGGCAACGACGGGUAGCUGGUCUGAGAGGACGAUCAGCCACACUGGGACUGAGACACGGCCCAGACUCCUACGGGAGGCAGCAGUAGGGAAUCUUGCGCAAUGGGGGAAACCCUGACGCAGCGACGCCGCGUGCGGGAUGAAGGCCUUCGGGUCGUAAACCGCUUUCAGCAGGGACGAAAUUGACGGUACCUGCAGAAGAAGGCCCGGCCAACUACGUGCCAGCAGCCGCGGUGAUACGUAGGGGUCUAGCGUUGUCCGGAAUUAUUGGGCGUAAAGAGCUCGUAGGCGGUUCGGCAAGUCGGAUGUGAAAUCUCCACGCUUAACGUGGAGGGGCCAUUCUGAAACUGCCGUGACUCGAGUCCGGUAGGGGAGUUCGGAAUUCCCGGUGUAGCGGUGAAAUGCGCAGAUAUCGGGAGGAACACCAGUGGCGAAGGCGGAACUCUGGGCCGGAAC
This 679-nucleotide ribosomal RNA is filed under the name uncultured soil bacterium. Its description in RNAcentral is "bacterial SSU rRNA". It matches the Rfam family "Bacterial small subunit ribosomal RNA", at positions 46 to 740 of the family's 1533-position model. The record is from RNAcentral.